Lagopus muta (rock ptarmigan) is the source of this 1080-nucleotide long non-coding RNA. RefSeq lists it as uncharacterized. Lineage: Eukaryota; Metazoa; Chordata; Aves; Galliformes; Phasianidae. The record is from RefSeq and is a predicted model, not a curated record. The transcript is spliced from 4 exons.
UUAAAAAGGAGCUCUGAAAGCACAUGCGAGAUGUUGGUGGAGAUGCUACAGUUUGCCUUGGAGAGCUAGGAGUGAGAGGGAUAGGCUGCUUGGAGAUAAUACUGAGGAAUGGUGUUUGGGUGUGGAAGAUAAGAAAGUGGUCUGGGAGAAGGGUUGUUAAAGAAUGGAGCAAAAAGAGUCAUUAGUCCAUUUGGAAGAAGACAGCUUCUGGAGGUGCCCAACUACCAAUACAGUUUCAGAGUCUGCCAGUCCAUAAGGAACAUGCUCUUCUGAAAUUUGUGCUAGAGGUCUACUGUCAGCAAACAUGAACUUGUCCCGUUCACAUUUCCCCAUAGCUUUAAAAAGAAUUCUGUUGAGAAUCCAGUGGGAAAGUGGUAAAUUUGAAAGCUUCUGAAGAGUGCAUCGUAGCUCAGAAUGUGCAAAGCUCCAACACUGGCAAACUGUGGGGUAAUGCCCCAUGUUUCCUCAGUUCCCUUGCUGAAACAUGAGCUCUGUCAGGAAAUAGGCACUUAUUUGAACUGCAGCAAAGCACCACUCAAUAAAGAUCAUUCUGAGCUAGUUUUGGAAUCUUCUCUGAUCUGAGAUGAUGCCAUAAGAUAUUCUCUGGCAGCUACACAUGCAACAAACUUCCUUACCAAAUCAGCCAUCGACUCAGGACUUCAAAUUGUAAGCCACAGAGGGUGAACCUGUUGACCACUUAAUGGCACUUAAUCACUGUGAAAAUGUGAUGUUCAGAACAGAGUAAUGAUAUCAAGAAAACUUGAUAGUACCAGUUUCGUAUGACAUGAAAUAGACGUUUAUAUGACAUAAAUAGAAUAACUUAUAGAAAAACAGCAAAAAGAAGACCAAACUGAUACUUAAUGAGUUAUCCAUUAAUUUUUUUGAGGAGAAAAAUAAAACAGUUAAUGAGAAUUGUGUCUACAGUAUAAUGUGCUUUUCAGUCUGUAAAGCAUAGCUUCCUUUAAAGAAUAAUAGUUACUUUUGUAUUUCCCUGGGUUGUACUCUGGUCUUGCUGCUUUUUUGUGAAUAUGAGGAAUAUCAAAGUGUUGAUCUUCAGAAUAAGGAGAGUAGAGUCUGAAU